CACGAUUUGCAGAAAUUUUCUAAUUUCCAAGCAUUCAUUAAGACAUCACGAGUCAAGAACCACGAAAAGGGGGAGGAAAAUAAAAAAGAAUAGAUUACAACAUGGUACUAAGCCGAAGACAUCUUAGAUCGACAACAAAUCAGACCUGCCGGAGCACUCCUUGUGAGGGUUAUUUCUUGUUAUUCCCUUUAUUUUUCGAGUCUGUAGCUGCUGUUCCGCCAGCGGCAGCCUGAGCUGCCUUCCUUGCUGCCUUCUCUUCCAGCGCCUUCUUAUCCCUUCAGACAGAACAUAAAAUUUCAGGAUCAGACGAUUUUGAGAAAAAGAAGAAAAAGAUUGUCCCAACUUCCCUGCAAUGAGUAAAAUUAAUCUAUCCGUUUAGAACUUCAAAAUUAGUAAAUUAAGCUUGACUUUUUCCAGCAAUAAUCAUCUUACUCUUCAAUAAAUGCUUUUGCCCCCCACUUUUUUUUUUUCAUUCCUAAAGCUUUUAUUCUAUCGCUCAUCUAAUUUUACAUGCACAGUAUAUUCUAAACGAACAAUAGUAUAAGGGAGAAAAUUUAAACCACCUGAUCAAAAGCUUUUGUAGAAAAGCAUAUAUAAUCAAAAUUAAAAGUGUACAAGGACAACAAUAUCCACGGUACCAACACUUUGUAGUAGUAUAAUCGCAUUUGCCCCUCACACAAAUCAUCAAAGAAAUAUUUUUCUUUAAAAAAAAAAAUAGAACUUUAAGAUACAAUAAUAAACAAUUAGACGAAUAUAAUACUAAAUAAACUGAAAAAGAGGGGAGUUUAAAAAAAAAAAAAAAAAAAAAAAAAAAAAAAAAAAAAAAAAAAAAAAAAAAAAAAANAC
Molecule: long non-coding RNA, 846 nt
Filed under: Ananas comosus (pineapple)
Lineage: Eukaryota; Viridiplantae; Streptophyta; Magnoliopsida; Poales; Bromeliaceae
Description: long non-coding RNA (ACOM_LNC030359)
Source: RNAcentral